GCGUGUGUGGCGGAAUUGGUAGACGCGCAAGCUUGAGGGGUUUGUGUUCAUUAGAACGUGCAGGUUCGACUCCUGUUACACGCAC
Molecule: transfer RNA, 85 nt
Filed under: Polaribacter pacificus
Lineage: Bacteria; Pseudomonadati; Bacteroidota; Flavobacteriia; Flavobacteriales; Flavobacteriaceae
Description: tRNA-Leu
Rfam family: tRNA
About the family: Transfer RNA (tRNA) molecules are approximately 80 nucleotides in length. Their secondary structure includes four short double-helical elements and three loops (D, anti-codon, and T loops). Further hydrogen bonds mediate the characteristic L-shaped molecular structure. tRNAs have two regions of fundamental functional importance: the anti-codon, which is responsible for specific mRNA codon recognition, and the 3' end, to which the tRNAs corresponding amino acid is attached (by aminoacyl-tRNA synthetases). tRNAs cope with the degeneracy of the genetic code in two manners: having more than one tRNA (with a specific anti-codon) for a particular amino acid; and 'wobble' base-pairing, i.e. permitting non-standard base-pairing at the 3rd anti-codon position.
Source: RNAcentral